GUCUAGCAUGUGUGCGAGUCAUUGAGAUUCGUAAAACUGAAAGGCGCAACGAAAGUGAAGGCGCGCGCUAGCCGCGCGCUCGGGGAGGAUGGAGGUCGAUCACGCGUCGGCCUCUCGCACUCCCGAGGCGUCUCGUUCGCAAUUCGUCGAUGCAGGCGCGCUCAGAGCACAGAUGCUGGGACCCGAAAGAUGGUGAACUAUGCCUGGUCAGGUCGAAGUCAGGGGAAACCCUGAUGGAGGACCGUAGCGAUUCUGACGUGCAAAUCGAUCGUCGGAACUGGGUAUAGGGGCGAAAGACUAAUCGAACC
This 308-nucleotide ribosomal RNA is filed under the name Heliozela sp. AusWA.EvN4519. RNAcentral describes it as "eukaryotic LSU rRNA". It matches the Rfam family "Eukaryotic large subunit ribosomal RNA", at positions 673 to 941 of the family's 3401-position model. Lineage: Eukaryota; Metazoa; Arthropoda; Insecta; Lepidoptera; Heliozelidae. The record is from RNAcentral.